GGGACACGUGGUAUCCUGUCUGAAUAUGGGGGGACCAUCCUCCAAGGCUAAAUACUCCUGACUGACCGAUAGUGAACCAGUACCGUGAGGGAAAGGCGAAAAGAACCCCGGCGAGGGGAGUGAAAAAGAACCUGAAACCGUGUACGUACAAGCAGUGGGAGCACGCUUAGGCGUGUGACUGCGUACCUUUUGUAUAAUGGGUCAGCGACUUAUAUUCUGUAGCAAGGUUAACCGAAUAGGGGAGCCGAAGGGAAACCGAGUCUUAACUGGGCGUUAAGUUGCAGGGUAUAGACCCGAAACCCGGUGAUCUAGCCAUGGGCAGGUUGAAGGUUGGGUAACACUAACUGGAGGACCGAACCGACUAAUGUUGAAAAAUUAGCGGAUGACUUGUGGCUGGGGGUGAAAGGCCAAUCAAACCGGGAGAUAGCUGGUUCUCCCCGAAAGCUAUUUAGGUAGCGCCUCGUGAAUUCAUCUCCGGGGGUAGAGCACUGUUUCGGCAAGGGGGUCAUCCCGACUUACCAACCCGAUGCAAACUGCGAAUACCGGAGAAUGUUAUCACGGGAGACACACGGCGGGUGCUAACGUCCGUCGUGAAGAGGGAAACAACCCAGACCGCCAGCUAAGGUCCCAAAGUCAUGGUUAAGUGGGAAACGAUGUGGGAAGGCCCAGACAGCCAGGAUGUUGGCUUAGAAGCAGCCAUCAUUUAAAGAAAGCGUAAUAGCUCACUGGUCGAGUCGGCCUGCGCGGAAGAUGUAACGGGGCUAAACCAUGCACCGAAGCUGCGGCAGCGACACUAUGUGUUGUUGGGUAGGGGAGCGUUCUGUAAGCCUGUGAAGGUGUGCUGUGAGGCAUGCUGGAGGUAUCAGAAGUGCGAAUGCUGACAUAAGUAACGAUAAAGCGGGUGAAAAGCCCGCUCGCCGGAAGACCAAGGGUUCCUGUCCAACGUUAAUCGGGGCAGGGUGAGUCGACCCCUAAGGCGAGGCCGAAAGGCGUAGUCGAUGGGAAACAGGUUAAUAUUCCUGUACUUGGUGUUACUGCGAAGGGGGGACGGAGAAGGCUAUGUUGGCCGGGCGACGGUUGUCCCGGUUUAAGCGUGUAGGCUGGUUUUCCAGGCAAAUCCGGAAAAUCAAGGCUGAGGCGUGAUGACGAGGCACUACGGUGCUGAAGCAACAAAUGCCCUGCUUCCAGGAAAAGCCUCUAAGCAUCAGGUAACAUCAAAUCGUACCCCAAACCGACACAGGUGGUCAGGUAGAGAAUACCAAGGCGCUUGAGAGAACUCGGGUGAAGGAACUAGGCAAAAUGGUGCCGUAACUUCGGGAGAAGGCACGCUGAUAUGUAGGUGAAGUCCCUCGCGGAUGGAGCUGAAAUCAGUCGAAGAUACCAGCUGGCUGCAACUGUUUAUUAAAAACACAGCACUGUGCAAACACGAAAGUGGACGUAUACGGUGUGACGCCUGCCCGGUGCCGGAAGGUU
Molecule: ribosomal RNA, 1473 nt
Filed under: Escherichia coli
Lineage: Bacteria; Pseudomonadati; Pseudomonadota; Gammaproteobacteria; Enterobacterales; Enterobacteriaceae
Description: partial 23S ribosomal RNA
Rfam family: Bacterial large subunit ribosomal RNA
Source: RNAcentral